This 497-nucleotide ribosomal RNA is filed under the name uncultured bacterium. RNAcentral describes it as "partial 16S ribosomal RNA". It matches the Rfam family "Bacterial small subunit ribosomal RNA", at positions 28 to 507 of the family's 1533-position model. The record is from RNAcentral.
GAUGAACGCUGGAGGCGUGCCUAAUACAUGCAAGUCGAGCGAACGGACGAGAAGCUUGCUUUUCUGAUGUUAGCGGCGGACGGGUGAGUAACACGUGGAUAACCUACCUAUAAGACUGGGAUAACUUCGGGAAACCGGAGCUAAUACCGGAUAAUAUUUUGAACCGCAUGGUUCAAAAGUGAAAGACGGUCUUGCUGUCACUUAUAGAUGGAUCCGCGCUGCAUUAGCUAGUUGGUAAGGUAACGGCUUACCAAGGCAACGAUGCAUAGCCGACCUGAGAGGGUGAUCGGCCACACUGGAACUGAGACACGGUCCAGACUCCUACGGGAGGCAGCAGUAGGGAAUCUUCCGCAAUGGGCGAAAGCCUGACGGAGCAACGCCGCGUGAGUGAUGAAGGUCUUCGGAUCGUAAAACUCUGUUAUUAGGGAAGAACAUAUGUGUAAGUAACUGUGCACAUCUUGACGGUACCUAAUCAGAAAGCCACGGCUAACUACGUG